CGAGAUGAGAUUUCCCAUUACGCAAGUAAGUAAGAUCCCUCAAAGAUGAUGAGGUGGAUAGGUCUGGUGUGGAAGCAUGGCGACAUGUGGAGCUGACAGAUACUAAUCGAUCGAGGACUUUCCCAAAA
This 128-nucleotide ribosomal RNA is filed under the name Sporosarcina sp. BI001-red. RNAcentral's name for it is "partial 23S ribosomal RNA". It matches the Rfam family "Bacterial large subunit ribosomal RNA", at positions 2800 to 2925 of the family's 2925-position model. The record is from RNAcentral. Lineage: Bacteria; Bacillati; Bacillota; Bacilli; Caryophanales; Caryophanaceae.